AUUGAACGCUGGCGGAAUGCUUUACACAUGCAAGUCGAACGGCAGCACGGACUUCGGUCUGGUGGCGAGUGGCGAACGGGUGAGUAAUACAUCGGAACGUGCCCAGUCGUGGGGGAUAACGUAGCGAAAGCUACGCUAAUACCGCAUACGAUCUAAGGAUGAAAGCGGGGGAUCGCAAGACCUCGCGCGAUUGGAGCGGCCGAUGGCAGAGUAGGUAGUUGGUGGGGUAAAGGCUCACCAAGCCGACGAUCUGUAGCUGUGCUGAGAGGACGACCAGCCACACUGGGACUGGGACACGGCCCAGACUCCUACGGGAGGCAGCAGUGGGGAAUUUUGGACAAUGGGCGCAAGCCUGAUCCAGCCAUUCCGCGUGCAGGAUGAAGGCCCUCGGGUUGUAAACUGCUUUUGUACGGAACGAAAAGGCUCUGGUUAAUACCCGGGGCUCAUGACGGUACCGUAAGAAUAAGCACCGGCUAACUACGUGCCAGCCGCCGCUGUAA
This 500-nucleotide ribosomal RNA is filed under the name uncultured bacterium. Its description in RNAcentral is "partial 16S ribosomal RNA". It matches the Rfam family "Bacterial small subunit ribosomal RNA", at positions 30 to 523 of the family's 1533-position model. The record is from RNAcentral.